Molecule: long non-coding RNA, 3291 nt
Organism: Gallus gallus (chicken)
Lineage: Eukaryota; Metazoa; Chordata; Aves; Galliformes; Phasianidae
Source: Ensembl
GAUUGCUGUCUUCAGACACUAAUGUUCUCCUUGUCCUUGCUCUGGAAUACUAACAUUUUUGUUGCCUAACCCUAAAACUACCUUCUGUUAUAGAAUGAAGAUUAUUCCUCAAGCAUUUUUUCCUUGGAAUUUCAUGAGAACACUCAUGCCUUCACAGGCUGCAAAACAGACUAUUCUUCCUUCCAGAUGAAAGAUGCCCAGAUCUUCAGGGAACAGAAGAAAACUUACUAUUAGAAGCUAGAAAAGAUUAUACUGAAAUUAUUUUUCUUCACCAUUAAGAAGAAGAGGGAUUCACUCUAAGGAGGUGGGGCUCCUUGCUUGGAGUAGUAAUGAGGAGCAGAUGAGCAGGAGGAAUAGAAAACCAAGUGAAGACUGAAGCUAUUUUACUGUUGAAGUAAAUUGGCUUGUUUUGGAACUGCCAAAUAAGAGCUAAUGAAAUCAGAUUGCUUCAUACACUACUUGCAGAAAAUCUAUAUGGAUUAAUACUAUAGAUUAAUAGCAGCUGGCCCUCUCCUUUCUGGAUUAGGUCCAAAAGAUUAACAAGAAAAUAAAUGCAGUGAGUAUGCCUUCAUUUUCUUCAGUAUCACUUGUAAAAGCAUGAAAUGCCCAGGAGUCCUGAUGUAUUCAUGGAAAUAGUGACUUAAGGAAGGGCAUUUGGUCUGGGUAGUUUUUGGUUGUUGUUAUUUUUUUCCAGUUUUGGUUGAACAUGGAAGUAAAUGGACAGCUGUUACAAUCCGAAAGGUCAGUGCAGUGGAAGGAAGAUACAGGAGUGCAGUAACAAAGGAACAAGUGUGAAUAGAAUGAUGUUACAAAGAAAAAGAGCUCACCUGUCUCAGAAGAGUUAGGCUCACGAGGAAAACAUCACAAGGGAAGGAUCUCCAACUAGAGGUCUUACCACAGUAGCAGUCAGCCCUUAAAUGAUGUCUAAGAGAGGUGCAGCCAGGCUCCACCUCUUCCAAUCACACAGAUGAAUUGCCUUCACCUGUGCUCCCAGGGCUGACCGGGUCCUUUCCACAGGUGCUGAAUCAGCAAUUCAGGGCAUGACUCAACAACUACCAUACAACUGCAUCAAAAGACAUUCAGAUUUCUGCUUUAAAAUCAGAUUACUUUUGUCAUUUUACACUUUUUUUUCUUUUUAAUGUUGACUCUUGUGACACCAUCAAGAGAGCAUCAUCAAGAGAAGGGGAGGAAGGAACAACUCAGAUGCCGUCCCACGUGGGAGAGGGCUCUGUGAAAAUGAUCUAAAGCUUUGCUGGAAAGCAUCUUGACACCUGCCAGCCCAAGCAAUGUGCUGUGUGAUCUGUGUGGGAUCCUGCAUUGUGUGCUAUUCAGUUUUAGUAUGUUAGUCCAGAAAAGCUACAAGUAGACAUAAGAUUUCACUGUAAAAGACAACCUCAACCUUGUCUGUGAUUCCCAGGGUCAAAAGGCUUCACUUCCUCCCUCCUCCUUUUUGCAUUAGGAAAUUCCUCCAGACAUCUUAGCAAAUAUUUCCUAUGAAUAGAGACCAGGAAAGGGAGACAGAACCUCUUCCUAGCUCUACUUCUUGCCUUCCUGCUGUCUGGUUGCCAGGUGCAGAAACACACAGAGAUACAGCUGGCAGUUUGUGUCUCUUUUUAAAGUCGGCAGCCCAACAUCACCAUUUCCACUUCCCAAAUUAGAGACCCAGAAAACACAACAAUCUGGCCUGUUAAGCAAAGAUAAAAGAUAAGGGAGGCAAACACAAAUGCAAAGAUCAGGCAAUGGUGAGGCUACCUGCAGUUCUCUGUUUUCCAGUGUGAUACACGGAAGAUAAGAUUAAUUACAGCUCCUCUGCUUUUGCUGGAUGAUAGGAAAAAAAGAGAGAGAGAAAAAAAAAACAACAGGAAAAGUUUUUCAUCAUCCAGAAGGUCUUUGUUGCAAUUUUUCUUUUUAAUCUUUGUAAAACAUUACAUCAUAGAAUAAAGACAAUAGCAGCAAAACUUAUCAAGAUGGUACAAGCACAUUCUGUUUGUACCCUGGUAAUGACAUUUAUGAAAUUGUCCCUUUUCUGAAAAUGCCUUCCUAAAGCACCAUAAAAUCUUACAGAGAGAAAGUGGGACAGAGACAAAAGAGUAGACAUAACAUCUUUGCAAGAUUAACCAGUUGCUUAUGCUACAAUUUGAAAUUGAUCAGGAAAAAAAUAAAUCAGCAUCCCACCAAAAUGUUUCCCCAAAUUUUAGCAAAGUUUUUUUUCUUUUUUUUUUUUUUCAAACGUAGGGCUGAAAAUGACUAAUCAUGGUUUCUCAUGUGAGUCUACAAGAUCCAGAUCAAAUUCUAUUAGAACUUGGAAAAAAAAUCAGUCUAAAACUACUUUGGAACGCUGGCCUGAACAAAUUCAAAUUGUUGCUAAGCUGUGAUCCAGACACAAAUCCUGCUUUUUCUAAUAAUAGUUACUACAUGACUCCAGGAUCUGGGAAACUGCUUAAUGGUAGGAUGGUCUGUUUGGUUUACAUCUCACAACUGACACUGUAAGAUUUUCUUUUUAAACAUCCAGCUCUCACAAAGAGAAAGAGUGUGUAGGUAGAAUAUAUUUGGGAGACUAAAAUAUUCUCUUACGUGCCACAUAUUACUUGUCUGUAAUUUGCAUUCAGGGAGUUCAGCCAAAAAAAAGCAAAUCCUAUCUGCCUCAAAGGAGCACCUGCUAGAGAAAUGUCUCCUUUCCCCAAAAGCGGCACUGGUAUUUCCUAGUGGUGAGACAAGGGCUGAGAUGUGACUUGUAUGCAGAUGUAAGGGAGCACAAAAAGCCAGAUCUACCUGUAUGGAAUGGGAGGCAUCACCGCUAAAAGUGUGUGUGUGCAAGAUCAGAUCAUGUGUUAUGUGAAGGGCAGGCACGUGCACUUGUUUGUAUGGGGUCUCUUUUCAAUCAGUUCCUUAGUACUCACCAGCACUGUGGACAAGACCUGCCUUUAGACUGACCAACUCAACCCAGCAUGAUCCAGCACCCACAGUAUGCCUUGGCUUCAUUAGCACAAUCUCAAAUUAUCUUUUGCUACUACUCUCUCUUAGUGUUUGAUUUCAGCAGCAUGAGUCAACAUGGUCUAGCAUCAUUAUGUACUUCACUUGUGCUGGCAGGAAGAAAAUAUUCUGUUCCAGAUCAUUGGUGUUUUUAAAGAGACUAACUGCUACUCGCAGGAAAGAAGACGGAGACCCUGGGAGGAAUUAGGCUACCUAAAGGAACUUCCAAAUCUGCAUUUUUGUGAUAUUUCAGGAAACUAGUUGCAUACGUUAAUCUAUAAGCCUCUAUUUGAGUUCCACAGAUUUGUGUUGAUUGGC